UGUAGGCUGCAACUCGCCUACAUGAAGUCGGAGUUGCUAGUAAUCGCGGAUCAGAAUGCCGCGGUGAAUGCGUUCCCGGGUCUUGUACACACCGCCCGUCACACCAUGGAAGUUGGGGGCGCCCGAAGUUGCCUAAGAAAUAAGGUACCUAAGGCGAAACCAAUGACUGGGGUGAAGUCGUAACAAGGUAGC
RNAcentral lists this ribosomal RNA (192 nucleotides) under uncultured bacterium. Its description in RNAcentral is "partial 16S ribosomal RNA". It matches the Rfam family "Bacterial small subunit ribosomal RNA", at positions 1299 to 1500 of the family's 1533-position model. The record is from RNAcentral.